Molecule: small nucleolar RNA, 138 nt
Organism: Ornithorhynchus anatinus (platypus)
Lineage: Eukaryota; Metazoa; Chordata; Mammalia; Monotremata; Ornithorhynchidae
Source: RefSeq, a predicted model, not a curated record
CCCCUCUCGGGAUCACACCUGGAGAGUUUCCAGGACUCUCCCAGUCUCGACUACGGGAGGGAGAAUCAAGCAGAGGCAGACCCACUCCAUUCCUAGCUUGGCCAGUGGCUAGCGAGUGGAAAACGAUCUGCUACGAAG